RNAcentral lists this ribosomal RNA (519 nucleotides) under Mrakia sp. DBVPG 4974. RNAcentral's name for it is "eukaryotic LSU rRNA". The stretch from base 71 to 224 matches the Rfam family "5.8S ribosomal RNA". Lineage: Eukaryota; Fungi; Basidiomycota; Tremellomycetes; Cystofilobasidiales; Mrakiaceae. The record is from RNAcentral.
UGCAAUGAGAGUCAUCAAUUUUAUACAUACCCCAGUCUUAUGAAUGUAACAGUUUUAAUAAACAUAAUAAAACUUUUAACAACGGAUCUCUUGGUUCUCGCAUCGAUGAAGAACGCAGCGAAAUGCGAUAAGUAAUGUGAAUUGCAGAAUUCAGUGAAUCAUCGAAUCUUUGAACGCACCUUGCGCUCCUUGGUAUUCCGAGGAGCAUGCCUGUUUGAGUGUCAUGAAACUCUCAACCUUCAACCUUUUUAUUAAGGCUGAAGGCUUGGACUUGGGCGCUGCUGGUUUUUACUAACCGGCUCGCCUGAAAUGAAUUAGCAGAUCCUUUUUGUAAUCGGUUCCACUCGACGUGAUAAGUAUUUCGCCGAGGACAUACGCAAGUAUGGCCGAGAUAAAGGAAGUCUUUAGAUCCGCUUCUAAUUCUUAGAUAGAGCUUGCUCUACUAAACCCCAUUUUAUGAUCUGGCCUCAAAUCAGGUAGGACUACCCGCUGAACUUAAGCAUAUCAAUAAGCGGAGGA